Molecule: long non-coding RNA, 454 nt
Filed under: Bos taurus (domestic cattle)
Lineage: Eukaryota; Metazoa; Chordata; Mammalia; Artiodactyla; Bovidae
Description: long non-coding RNA NONBTAT023565
Source: RNAcentral
CCUGUCCAGUUGCUGAAUGAUUAUCUGUGCACUUUCUGUGGAAAUAGUAAUGACACUCUUGGUUCAUUUGGGAAAAGUUGUGAAUCAGAAUGUAGUGCCUUUAUUUCGUACUAGACACUACCACUGUAUGAAGUGCCAGAUUCAUUAAGGAAAAUAUGGUAGUGUUUGGAAGUUGUAAGCAAUGAUAAUGUAUAUAUAUGACAAGUUAAUAUAUAGGGGAAAUGGUCUUGUUUAAUACAGGGAUGGUGCCUGUGAUGGGAGGUUAAUUUGCCUUGUGGUCAGUAUUGAUUAGUGGCAGCAUUACUUCAUGUACCAUCAUCAUUUUGUUUUCCACCAAAGAAAUGAAAUCCACUUGCCAGAUACCUGACUGCAAGCUAGUCUUUUGGGCAGAAAUCUGCCAGAGGGAGGUUUACCCCAAAAGGCUAAAGAGUUGUUUUGUUACUGUACCCCUACU